RNAcentral lists this ribosomal RNA (253 nucleotides) under uncultured bacterium. Its description in RNAcentral is "partial 16S ribosomal RNA". It matches the Rfam family "Bacterial small subunit ribosomal RNA", at positions 524 to 776 of the family's 1533-position model. The record is from RNAcentral.
UACGAAGGGUGCAAGCGUUACUCGGAAUUACUGGGCGUAAAGCGUGCGUAGGUGGUUCGUUAAGUCUGAUGUGAAGGCCCCGGGCUUAACCUGGGAAUGGCAUUUGGGACUGCAAGGCUUGAGUGCGGCAGAGGAGACUGGAAUUCCUGGUGUAGCAGUGAAAUGCGUAGAUAUCAGGAGGAAUACCGAUGGCGAAGGCAGGUCUCUGGGCUGACACUGACGCUCAUGCACGAAAGCGUGGGGAGCAAACAGG